GACGAACGCUGGCGGCGUGCUUAACACAUGCAAGUCGAACGGAAAGGCCCUGCUUUUGUGGGGUGCUCGGGUGGCGAACGCGUGCGUAACACGUGAGUAACCUGCCCUUGACUUUGGGAUAACUUCAGGAAACUGGGGCUACUCCCGUAUAGCAUCUCCUGCUGCAUGGUGGGGGUUGGAAAGUUUCGGCGGUUGGGGAUGGACUCGCGGCUUAUCAGCUUGUUGGUUGGGGAGUGGCUGACCAAGGCUUUGACGGGUAGCCGGCCUGAGAGGGUGACCGGCGACAUGGGGACUGAGAGACGGACCAGACUGCAACGGGAGGCAGUAGUGGGGAAUAUGGCACAAUGGGCGGAAGCCUGAUGCAGAAACGCCGCGUGCGGGAUGACGGCCUUCGGGUUGUAAAACGCUUUAGCCUGUGACGAAGCGGGAGUGACGGUAAUGGGUAAAGAAGCACCGGCUAACUACGUG
RNAcentral lists this ribosomal RNA (468 nucleotides) under uncultured bacterium. Its description in RNAcentral is "partial 16S ribosomal RNA". It matches the Rfam family "Bacterial small subunit ribosomal RNA", at positions 28 to 507 of the family's 1533-position model. The record is from RNAcentral.